RNAcentral lists this ribosomal RNA (868 nucleotides) under uncultured bacterium. RNAcentral describes it as "bacterial SSU rRNA". It matches the Rfam family "Bacterial small subunit ribosomal RNA", at positions 20 to 901 of the family's 1533-position model. The record is from RNAcentral.
UGGCUCAGGACGAACGCUGCGGGCGUGCCUAAGAAAUGCAAGUCGAGCGAGGGGAGAGCUUCGGCUCAAUCCUAGCGGCGAACGGUCGCGUAACACGUAAGCAACCUGCCCCUAAGACCGGGAUAACAGCUCGAAAGGGCUGCUAAUACCGGAUGUGGCUCCCUUUGGGCAUCCUUAGGGAACUAAACCGAGCAAUCGGCUUGGGGAUGGCUUGCGGCCUAUCAGCUAGUUGGUGGGGUAACGGCCUACCAAGGCGACGACGGGUAGCUGGUUUGAGAGAACGGCCAGCCGGACUGGGACUGAGAUACGGCCCAGACUCCUACGGGGGGCAGCAAUUAGGAAUCUUGCACAAUGGGCGAAAGCCUGAUGCAGCGACGCCGCGUGGAGGAUGAAGUCUUUCGGGAUGUAAACUCCUUUUGUCAGGGAAGAAAAACAUGACGGUACCUGACGAAUAAGCUCCGGCUAACUACGUGCCAGCAGCCGCGGUAAUACGUAGGGAGCGAGCGUUGUCCGAAGUUACUGGGCGUAAAGCGCGCGUAGGCGGGCUGUUAAGUCGGAAGUGAAAGGCUGGGGCUCAACCCCAGUAGUGCUUCCGAUACUGGCAGUCUUGAGGGCGGUAGGGAGAAGUGGAAUGACUGGUGUAGCGGUGAAAUGCGUAGAUAUCAGUCAGAACACCGGUGGCGAAGGCGGCUUCUUGGGCCGUUCCUGACGCUGAGGCGCGAAAGCCAGGGGAGCGAACGGGAUUAGAUACCCCGGUAGUCCUGGCCGUAAACGAUGGAUACUAGGUGUAGGGGGUAUCGACCCCUCCUGUGCCGUAGCUAACGCCUUAAGUAUCCCGCCUGGGGAGUACGGCCGCAAGGUUGAAACU